This 246-nucleotide long non-coding RNA is filed under the name Lathyrus oleraceus (garden pea). Its description in RNAcentral is "Pisum sativum (pea) long non-coding RNA (PSAT_LNC017498)". Lineage: Eukaryota; Viridiplantae; Streptophyta; Magnoliopsida; Fabales; Fabaceae. The record is from RNAcentral.
UUGAACUAAAUAAAACUUCACUCACUUUCAAACAACAACCUUGUAGUUAUUUCUCUUCUGUUUUAUCUUUUUAUUCUUCGUUUUUUUCCAAAAGGAAUAUGUAUUGUCAUCCUUUUUUUUCAUCAAUUUUUUUCUUAUUUUUUUAUUGUUUUCUUCUUUCUAUUUUUUUCUUUCCAUUUCCUGCCAACUUUUGAAAUAUCACAACUAUAAUUAUUCAACCCAACACAACUCCAAACAAUACUUUUU